This 50-nucleotide transfer RNA is filed under the name Angelica laevigata. RNAcentral's name for it is "tRNA-Ile". Lineage: Eukaryota; Viridiplantae; Streptophyta; Magnoliopsida; Apiales; Apiaceae. The record is from RNAcentral.
GAGGCUCGCACGACGGGGCGAGGUCUCUGGUUCAAGUCCAGGAUGGCCCA